GAAGGGAUAGCUCAGUGGUAGAGUGUGUGUUUAGCUUGCACGAGGUCCUGGGUUCAAUCCCCAGUACCUCCA
Molecule: transfer RNA, 72 nt
Filed under: Camelus bactrianus (Bactrian camel)
Lineage: Eukaryota; Metazoa; Chordata; Mammalia; Artiodactyla; Camelidae
Also listed under: 2 other names
Rfam family: tRNA
About the family: Transfer RNA (tRNA) molecules are approximately 80 nucleotides in length.
Source: Rfam by way of RNAcentral